RNAcentral lists this ribosomal RNA (478 nucleotides) under uncultured bacterium. RNAcentral describes it as "bacterial SSU rRNA". It matches the Rfam family "Bacterial small subunit ribosomal RNA", at positions 29 to 507 of the family's 1533-position model. The record is from RNAcentral.
AUGAACGCUAGCGGCAGGCUUAACACAUGCAAGUCGAGGGGUAUAGGAAGCUUGCUUCCUAGAGACCGGCGCACGGGUGCGUAACGCGUAUGCAAUCUACCUUUGCAGAGGGAUAGCCCAGAGAAAUUUGGAUUAAUACCUCAUAGUAUGUGAGAAUGGCAUCAUUUUCACAUUAAAGUCACAACGGCAAAAGAUGAGCAUGCGUCCCAUUAGCUUGUUGGUAAGGUAACGGCUUACCAAGGCAACGAUGGGUAGGGGUCCUGAGAGGGAGAUCCCCCACACUGGUACUGAGACACGGACCAGACUCCUACGGGAGGCAGCAGUGAGGAAUAUUGGACAAUGGGCGCAAGCCUGAUCCAGCCAUGCCGCGUGCAGGAUGACGGUCCUAUGGAUUGUAAACUGCUUUUGUACAGGAAGAAACACUGGUUCGUGAACCAGCUUGACGGUACUGUAAGAAUAAGGAUCGGCUAACUCCGUG